Molecule: ribosomal RNA, 638 nt
Filed under: uncultured bacterium
Lineage: Bacteria
Description: bacterial SSU rRNA
Rfam family: Bacterial small subunit ribosomal RNA
Source: RNAcentral
GCUCAACCGGGGAGGGUCAUUGGAAACUGGGGAACUUGAGUGCAGAAGAGGAGAGUGGAAUUCCACGUGUAGCGGUGAAAUGCGUAGAGAUGUGGAGGAACACCAGUGGCGAAGGCGACUCUCUGGUCUGUAACUGACGCUGAGGCGCGAAAGCGUGGGGAGCGAACAGGAUUAGAUACCCUGGUAGUCCACGCCGUAAACGAUGAGUGCUAAGUGUUAGAGGGUUUCCGCCCUUUAGUGCUGCAGCAAACGCAUUAAGCACUCCGCCUGGGGAGUACGGUCGCAAGACUGAAACUCAAAGGAAUUGACGGGGGCCCGCACAAGCGGUGGAGCAUGUGGUUUAAUUCGAAGCAACGCGAAGAACCUUACCAGGUCUUGACAUCCUCUGACAACCCUAGAGAUAGGGCUUCCCCUUCGGGGGCAGAGUGACAGGUGGUGCAUGGUUGUCGUCAGCUCGUGUCGUGAGAUGUUGGGUUAAGUCCCGCAACGAGCGCAACCCUUGAUCUUAGUUGCCAGCAUUCAGUUGGGCACUCUAAGGUGACUGCCGGUGACAAACCGGAGGAAGGUGGGGAUGACGUCAAAUCAUCAUGCCCCUUAUGACCUGGGCUACACACGUGCUACAAUGGGCAGAACAAAAG